GGUCAAGCUACUAAGAGCUUAUGACGGAUGACUUGGUACGAGAAGGCGAUGAAGGGCGUGGUAAGCAGCGAUAUGCUCCGGGGAGCCGCAAACAGGCUUUGAUCCGGAAAAUUCCGAAUGGGGCAACCCAUCGCAAGUUAUUUUGCGAUAGCCCCGCCAUGAAUUCAUAGUGGUGGGGCAGCGAAACCGGGAGAAGUGAAACAUCUAAGUACCCCGAGGAAAAGAAAUCACCGAGAUUGCCUCAGUAGCGGCGAGCGAAGAGGCAAGAGCCUAAACCAAUUUUGCGCAAGCAAAAU
RNAcentral lists this ribosomal RNA (296 nucleotides) under Candidatus Omnitrophota bacterium. Its description in RNAcentral is "partial 23S ribosomal RNA". It matches the Rfam family "Bacterial large subunit ribosomal RNA", at positions 1 to 292 of the family's 2925-position model. Lineage: Bacteria; Pseudomonadati; Candidatus Omnitrophota. The record is from RNAcentral.